Molecule: ribosomal RNA, 1443 nt
Filed under: uncultured organism
Description: 16S ribosomal RNA
Rfam family: Bacterial small subunit ribosomal RNA
Source: RNAcentral
GCGGCGUGCUUAACACAUGCAAGUCGAACGGAAAGGCCCUGCUUUUGUGGGGUGCUCGAGUGGCGAACGGGUGAGUAACACGUGAGUAACCUGCCCUUGACUUUGGGAUAACUUCAGGAAACUGGGGCUAAUACCGGAUAGGAGCUCCUGCUGCAUGGUGGGGGUUGGAAAGUUUCGGCGGUUGGGGAUGGACUCGCGGCUUAUCAGCUUGUUGGUGGGGUAGUGGCUUACCAAGGCUUUGACGGGUAGCCGGCCUGAGAGGGUGACCGGCCACAUUGGGACUGAGAUACGGCCCAGACUCCUACGGGAGGCAGCAGUGGGGAAUAUUGCACAAUGGGCGGAAGCCUGAUGCAGCAACGCCGCGUGCGGGAUGACGGCCUUCGGGUUGUAAACCGCUUUCGCCUGUGACGAAGCGUGAGUGACGGUAAUGGGUAAAGAAGCACCGGCUAACUACGUGCCAGCAGCCGCGGUGAUACGUAGGGUGCGAGCGUUGUCCGGAUUUAUUGGGCGUAAAGGGCUCGUAGGUGGUUGAUCGCGUCGGAAGUGUAAUCUUGGGGCUUAACCCUGAGCGUGCUUUCGAUACGGGUUGACUUGAGGAAGGUAGGGGAGAAUGGAAUUCCUGGUGGAGCGGUGGAAUGCGCAGAUAUCAGGAGGAACACCAGUGGCGAAGGCGGUUCUCUGGGCCUUUCCUGACGCUGAGGAGCGAAAGCGUGGGGAGCGAACAGGCUUAGAUACCCUGGUAGUCCACGCUGUAAACGGUGGGUACUAGGUGUGGGGUCCAUUCCACGGGUUCCGUGCCGUAGCUAACGCUUUAAGUACCCCGCCUGGGGAGUACGGCCGCAAGGCUAAAACUCAAAGGAAUUGACGGGGCCCCGCACAAGCGGCGGAGCAUGCGGAUUAAUUCGAUGUAACGCGUAGAACCUUACCUGGGUUUGACAUGGAUCGGGAGUGCUCAGAGAUGGGUGUGCCUCUUUUGGGGUCGGUUCACAGGUGGUGCAUGGCUGUCGUCAGCUCGUGUCGUGAGAUGUUGGGUUAAGUCCCGCAACGAGCGCAACCCUUGUUCACUGUUACCAGCACGUUAUGGUGGGGACUCAGUGGAGACCGCCGGGGUCAACUCGGAGGAAGGUGGGGAUGACGUCAAGUCAUCAUGCCCCUUAUGUCCAGGGCUUCACGCAUGCUACAAUGGCUGGUACAGAGAGUGGCGAGCCUGUGAGGGUGAGCGAAUCUCGGAAAGCCGGUCUCAGUUCGGAUUGGGGUCUGCAACUCGACCUCAUGAAGUCGGAGUCGCUAGUAAUCGCAGAUCAGCAACGCUGCGGUGAAUACGUUCCCGGGGCUUGUACACACCGCCCGUCAAGUCAUGAAAGUUGGUAACACCCGAAGCCGGUGGCCUAACCGUUGUGGGGGAGCCGUCGAAGGUGGGACUGGUGAUUAGGACUAAGUCGU